CGGUUGAAAUAGCAGGGAAAGUCCAGUGCAAUUCUGGCACUGUCGCGCAACGGUGAAAGUCCGAAUGCCUGUCCACAA
This 78-nucleotide non-coding RNA is filed under the name Leptolinea tardivitalis. Lineage: Bacteria; Bacillati; Chloroflexota; Anaerolineae; Anaerolineales; Anaerolineaceae. The record is from RNAcentral.